Molecule: long non-coding RNA, 751 nt
Organism: Myotis brandtii (Brandt's bat)
Lineage: Eukaryota; Metazoa; Chordata; Mammalia; Chiroptera; Vespertilionidae
Exons: 4
Source: RefSeq, a predicted model, not a curated record
GCUAAGCUCGAAGUUCCAGGGAGUUGUCUGCAGCCGCCCACGGUGCGGGGCUCCCUUUCCUGCAACGUCCUAGCUGCAGAACCUUUGCUCCCAGGGCCCCUACCAGUGCUCCUCUCCGCAGCUAAGCAUUCCUACUGAGUCCAGCGCUUGUUUAAAAGAACCGCUCAAAGAAUCACUCUUAACCGUGCACCUGUCUCCCCUCCGUGCUGUCCUCAUACCAGGUGAGCUCAUGUCCAGAGAAGAGCGAAUGCUUGCUGAGCCCCUACUGUGUGCCAGACCGCGCGUUAAUCGUUUCCAUCUGAAUACAAGAUCUCAGAUCCUUGCAACAAUUCUAUGAGGCAGGUACUCCUUAGAGGGCCCAACGCGCCAGUCGGCCCCCACUAAGAGCAUCACUAUGGAAGGGAUGGAGCCCAAGGUGACCCUGGACAUGACAGAUGAGGAAACCUGGUCAUAAACAGACAAGCAGCUUGCCCAAGGGCACACAGUUUGAGAUCCUUCUUGCUGUACCGCCAUUGUGCUUGGUAUUUCAAAAAUCUACGCCCGCCGACCUCUGCUACUAAAUACCUGGACAAAGGAUGGGGAUGCUGGCCAGGCUUUCCCACCUCAACUUCAGGGCAAGAGGUCUGACAAUGAGCCAUCCAUGUUCUCGGCGUGUCUACCUGAAAGCAUCCACCCCUACAUCCUGUCUGUCAUCACGGCAUACCUCGGAGGUCGUGCGGGUUCGGUGUGGGGCCACCACAGGAAAGCCAAU